Molecule: long non-coding RNA, 1197 nt
Filed under: Cucumis sativus (cucumber)
Lineage: Eukaryota; Viridiplantae; Streptophyta; Magnoliopsida; Cucurbitales; Cucurbitaceae
Description: long non-coding RNA (CSAT_LNC002742)
Source: RNAcentral
UUCAAUGUCUGUCAAUGUUUCCAUGACUAGUUUUUCGUUUUUACACUUUAUUAUUACGAUAUGAUUCAGGUAGAACAAAUGUAAUUUCUAUUUUCUUAGUGUAAGAAAUAAAUUUCUAAAUUCUUUGAGACCCUUGAUGAUUUUAUCCAACUUGCUGAGAUGUUGUGAAGCCAAGACCCUGCUUCAGGGAGAACCUACUUGGUGGAAUAACAUUUUUAUGAGUUACGUGGAUUUGACUGAGGUUUCAGGUAGGACAAAAAAAUAUUUUUGCAUCGUAAGGAAUAAAUUUCUAAAUCAUCUGAGACCCUUGAUGAUAUUAUCUAACUUACUGAGAUGUUGUGAAGCCAAGACCCUGCUUCAGGGAGAACCUACUUGGUGGAAUAACAUUUUUAUGAGUUACGUGGAUUUGACUGAGGUUUCAGGUAGGACAAAAAAUUGUUUUUGUAUCGUAAGAAAUAAAUGUAUAAUUUGGAGACGGAUGACAAUGUCCAAAUUACUGAGAUGUUGCGAAGCCAAAUUCCUUCUACAUUUAUACGAGUGACAUGGAUUUGGCUGGGGAUCCAUAUUUUGCUGUUUAUCAACUAAGUUUAUUCCAUAUUAGAAACUCGUGUUUUUAAAUUCCUGCUUCUGUUUUUGUAUUGUUUUUUUUCCGUUUUCAUAGAUUUAUUUGAUUUCUCAUACUCUUUUCCACCAAAUUGAACUCUCUUGUUGACCUAUAUUUUGUGUUGACCAUAUCUAGCGCAAGCUGCACGAGACUAUGUACAGUUAGUGUGAAAUUUCAAAUGGAUUGUGCAGAUUAGGUAGCACGUUGUAUCGAUUUCACUCAUUUGCUGCUGAUUUGUACGAUCAUGAAGCUGUAUAUAGACAUGGUUGGAGGUCUCGAUUUUUCACAUAACCCACCCCUCUUUCAUAUGAUGCGUUUAUGGUUGUAUUUAGAAGUUGUGAUAAAACAGAAUGUAAAUGGUAGGUUUUCACUGCACAUUUGUUUGCAUGGCGUUGUUGACGCCAAUAUACGAACUUGUUCAAUCUUCCAUUCUGACGUAGAAUCGUUUAGUAUUGUAAGGUUGAGUUUUCGAGCUAAUUGGAUAUGUUUUUAUGAACAAAUAUUUUCCCUGCAAAAAGUUGUUUUUCUUGCAACAUGGGUUGUGGAAUGGCUUUAAUUUAUUAUGGGUGGGAUUUUCCCAGAGAGAGUCUCAU